Long non-coding RNA from Canis lupus familiaris (dog), 5940 nucleotides. RefSeq lists it as uncharacterized. The record is from RefSeq and is a predicted model, not a curated record. NCBI's taxonomy places the organism in Eukaryota, Metazoa, Chordata, Mammalia, Carnivora, Canidae. The transcript has 4 exons.
GCUCAAGACUCUGAGCCAAACCUUUCCUGAAGAACAUACUCUGAACGUCUCCUUAUUCAGCUCACUGAACACCCACAGCCUGCUUCUUCAUAUAUGACACGCAAAUCUCCUCAAAAUCCACAAAAUGUAGACAAGUUAACUUCCGCGUGUCAUCUUCAAAAACCAGUGAUUUGUACCUCUGCAUUUGGAAGGAAGCUACCCUUCAGGUGCAGGCAUGCAGGAGACUGCCCUUCUUCCUCUUCAUCGCUUAAUAUACUCUGACAAUGACAUUCCAUCACUUCAAGAGCACCUGCUGCUGGCAGGAGAGUGAGCAGCCAACUUCAUGAAGAAGUUAACCAAGAAUCAAGGAGAACAAACUCAUCUCCAAGUCUUUCCAGAGAUCAUCUCAUAAUUAAUAAUCAGUCCUGCUGUUCUGCUCUGACAAGAAACAAUGUGUCUCUUCAAUGAACAUCAAGAGCAUGUCGCUCUCUCUCUCUCUCUCUUUCUAUCUCUCUCUCUCUCUUAUUUUCCUCUCUUGACAUCUUCCUGGCAUGUUCCACGUCACUGGUAUGGUAUUAUCAUUGGCAUCAAUGUGCAUUCAUCAUCACAUAAACAGGAGGGUGCCCCUAUUUUACUAUUUGGUAAAAUGAAGACCCAAAGUGACUUGCCCCAGACAAUAAUAAAGCUAGAACCCGAACAAGGGGUAUGGUCAGUGGGAACGUUUACUUGUCAACAAGAGCAAUUUAUCCAGGGAGUGGUGAAACCACUGAUGGCAUGCUAUACCACCCCAGAUGGGUGGACAUAAAGUUUUCAUGUAUGCAUUCACUCAUGCUUGCAUUAUUCAUUAAUUUGCAGAGCUGUGCAAUUGGCUCUGUGCUAGGUCCGGGAAGGUCCUACCAAGCAAUGUUCAUGGGGCCACGCCUUGGACUCAAAUCCCUACUCUCCUGUCCCCUACUUGUAUGACUUUAAGGAAAACACUUACAUGUACUGGUUUCUAUGCUUUUAAGCAGAAAACAAAACCAACAGCACUUACCUCAUGAUUACAGUAUAGCAAAUGUUGUGUAAAUUCACUGAUCUGGCAAAUAUUUGCCUGGACUCCAAGGCAGACACUGUGCUAGGCAUAUGUAUAAAGGAUGGUUGCUCUCCUGAUGGGGACCACACAAAAUAAAACACAAGCAUCUUAUUCUCAAGACUUUUAAUCUUGUAGAAGAGUUAAGUAGGGAUGUCCAUACCCAAAGAAGCAGCAUAUAAGCACCCGGCAGGGAACUUGGACUAUGGAGCAUGAGAGAUUCGCUUGGGGCUGGUCUGAUGCCCAAGGGCUUCAGGAAGGGGGAGGUCUGGGGAGGACCCUGAAGGGUAAGUGAAAUGUUAGCUGGCAGAGGUAAACAGGACAGGCCCAGUGGGCAACAGGAUGAAAUAAAUCAAGGCCUUAGAAGAAGAAAAGUCAGCUAGCAAAAUAUGGACAGACUGACAAGGUGGAUUGGAACAGAACAUGCUUCCGAGGAGGCUGAUGUGAAGCCAGAAGGAAGGUGAGGAACAGGAAUGAGAUUCUCAAAGAGAUGGAGGGGAAAGCCUGUGCUCCAGGCCUCCAGGGAGGGGAGGGGAGGCAUGCCGCUCUGCUCUCCAUCUCCACCUCCACCCCUUCUUUCCAGAGACAGCAGCUGGCUGCAGGUAAAUUGUGCUCGGGGCCCCGUGUCUCGUUUUUAUGAUUUACCAGUUCAGUCUUUCAGCAGGGCGAGAAUAUAGAGUGUGGUGGAUGGCACAUGCUCGGGGAAUUUAUGUUGCAUAGCUAAACAUCAUGUCUGCCUAUCUCUUCCCAGUAAUCUCUGAUAAUACCCAAAUGGGCUUUUUAUUUUAAACAUCUGGACAGCCUUAUGGUGGCUGAGAAUUAAGGUGCUGAGUGAAGAAAACAGCACAGUCAUAAAGUCUGUCGAAUAAACAAAGCUUUCUUUGGAACAUUAACUCCUUUACUGAGAAAUUGUCUCUGUUCCUCAAAAUGCACUUGGUAACUUUACAUCUUCAUCUCCAGGUACCACUUUUCUCUUGCAAAUACUCUCAUGGCAGUUAAUGGGGCCAUUAAGGUAGGAAACUAUGAGAUAUUAGCAUAAAAAGAACAUUGCCAGGAAAGAGAUGCAAAAGGCCUUUCCUCACGCAAGCUCUUUUCCCCCCUUUUGGCAUUUGCUUUUGUUUUAUAACAGCAGAAAUUCCCAUUGUGGGUGGUGGUAAUUUUAGCUAGAUAAUAACUCUGCCGACACCGUCAUAAAUUGGCAAAAGGUGUGUAACUCAGGGAGGGGAAAGACUGGAAUGGAAAAUAAUCAAGUAGUUUCUAUUUGUUUUUAAUACACACAGCCAUUCAAUCAAGAGAGGUCUGAAUUUUCUCUUUCUUCUCAGAGAUCACUAGGGUUUCUUUUUGCCUGAAGAAGGUGAUGAAGUCGAGAUGACAUGGAUAGUCGCAGCCUUUGCACAUGCCCUGCUGUCUGCUGGGUGCUCUCCCUGUCCUGGAGUCUGAGGAUCAACAUUUCCUUACUCUGGAAGGUUUGGUUCAUGUGUUCUCUACAGCAUAAGCCUGCCCGAACCCCCCAGAGGAGGAUUGAAGCUAUCUUCUCUGAGUUACUGGAAAACCACAGGGGCUUCUCCUGUGGUUCUAUCAUUGCGUUUGUAGGCAAAUGGUCCCACCCAAUGACUGUGGUGGCCGGCCACAAGCAGGACUGGGCAAGGUGGCUACGGAUUCAGGAGUUCUGGGUCUUGGGCCCUAGAACAGGGCCUAGAACAGAGUUAGAUUUACUUUUAUGUAUCUGUUUUCUAUAGUUGUAGUAUAGAUUCUCAUACACAUUGCAGGUUAAAAUAACUUAGGGGUCUAGGCAGGACUAGUGGAGUCCUCUGCUUUGGGUCCCCUGAAGUAUCAUUUAGGGAUGGAUACUCAUCAGAGGCUCAGCUGUGGAGGGAACUGCCUUCACGGUCACUCAGAUUGUUGGCAGCUGUUGGACUCCUGACAGCUGUCUUCUGCUUGUCCACGAAGAGAAGUCUCCAGAGAUUCUGCUAAGUCAGAGUCUUCUAUAAUAUGACAUGUCCUAUGUGCCAUGCCUUGUCAUCUUUGUACAUUCUAUUGGUUAGAUGCAAGUCACAAGACUCACUUCUCGGGAGGGGAUUAAGCACAGGCAUGAAUAUCAGGAAGUGGGAUCAUGAGGGCCCGUUUCAUAUCUGCACAACACAUAAAUGGUUUAAUAAAUCUCUCACCCAAACAAAUUGCUUUGUUUUCCCCAAUCACAGCCGUCCUGAACCUGGUGUUGCUGCAUGCCACAUCUGUUUUCAUGCAUUUGAGAUCCUUUACUUGAUGCCCACCUUGUAAUCCCCGGAUCCUCGCAGGACAGAGUUCAUGUCUGUCCAGUGGGGCUGUAUAUCCACAGAACCUAGCAAGGACUGAACUGUGCUAGGUGCACAAUAUCAUAUCUCAAAUGAAUGAAUUCAUUCAUUCAUGGGGAGAACACAUGAGUGUGCUCAAUCCUUGGUGUGAGUGACUGUGGACCUUAUAUUCUUCUUUAUGCAAUAUUUUCCCUCCAUGUUCUGUAAGUGUUGGCUUGGGAGUGAAUAAAACACUCAAUAGCCAUAUCUCAUGCCAAUAACUCAUUUCUUUAUUUCUUUAGACCUAUUCUUGAAAGCACCUCUGCAUGGACAACUCCCCAAACAGAGGAUUCUGCCUCAGGCCAGAAAGCUUGGAGUUAUUCAAACAUGAAAUAGGCAGAGAUAAACCACAGUUGAAGGAGCACAUGACUUUCCUGCGAUAAUCUUCAGGGCCCUUGUAUUUGCAUGCCCCUUGCUUCUGUCCCCUCUCCGUUCUCCACUGAUUCCAUACUGCAUAGCUGGUGCACGUUUCUGGAUUGCCCUGAGCCGUGAUUUAUUCUUUCCUGCAUUAUGCCUUUUGAAUGCCUUCUCCCUGCCCCUGUAUAGCCCUGAAACCUUUCUCUCUAAUUUCAAUUUGUACUUUAUUUUCACUCCAGAAACACUCAUAUGUGAUCAGUCACCUGCCCCAGGUUGACUGUGUCGGCUCCACUGCUACCGUCCUAGCAAUGCCUCACAAGUCACGAUGCAUGCAGGUCUAGUAGCUCCAAAUUUGGAGGCUCUUCUAGAAUACCAUCGCCCUCUCCAAGAUUUUAUAUGUAAAGGCACAGAUAUGUUCUAAGUAAAUGGAUGGGAAAUAUACACCAUGCACAGAAAAAGUAUAUGUCUUAGGUAGCAUAAUGAUUUCUGAUAAGUUAUAGUUUAAGAGUGGGCAUGUUCAGAGAUUAAAAAGAAAAAGCUCUGUGAGACAGGCAGGGGAUGGCAUUCAACCACACGGAUGUGACAGAUGAGGAAACCUAGACUUACAGAGGAGAGACUGACUUGUUUGACAGUGUUAGGCUUGGCAUGGUCUCCCCACCAAAUUACGAGCUUCCUAGAGGGAGAGCUCCCAUCUUGUAAGUCUUAAUACCCUCUGCAGCUCACAACAUCACCAUCGGGGAAGGCAUUCCACAACUGAUCACAGAGCAAAUGAUCUACUAUCAACCAUCAAGGCAUGAUACCCCCAUGAACAUCUUCCAAAUUGCCAUUCACGGCAUAAUGUACAAGAUGGUUCUGAUAUGUCAGUGGAGAGCUAAUGCCUGUCUUCCUAGGAUCUCCCAUGGAACUACCCCACACCACUAGUCACAUGGCUAGUGUGUAAACUAUUGUUUAUUCAACAUGACCCCAUCUGGCCACUCUGGUUGACCCAGGAGUGUGUACAUGAUCCAACAGUGUCCUCUUUCUCUCCUUUCUUCAGAAUUCUGAAACUGAAACUGAGCAGAACUCAUUAACUGGUACCUGAACCUAUAAUGUAUAGAACGCUGGUAUUACUUAUGGCCAUGAUCAUCCAAAAUUGUUUUGAAACUUGGAGGAUGCUGUUCAGGGGAGAGACAACAACAAAAACAACAACAACAACAAAACAUUUAAGGAGAGAAAGAGAGACAAAUUUAAACCUGCUCAUAUAACUUGGAAUGGAGAAGAAAUCCAAACAAACCAUAAACUACGAGACAUGACCAACGAGCUCUGUCUACCUCAAACCUGGGAGAUGGUGACCAAAGCUGUAUUAGAAGUAAAGUCAUCCUCAGACACAUGCUUGAGAAGGAAGAAAGAAAAGGAAAGGAAAGUUUAAAGCAUAAUCCAUUAUUUUUUAACUUUUUAUAAAGCUAGAAGAGGAAUGCUUCUUCCAUUUUUCGUGUGAGAUCUGAAAGACAUGUAGAAAUCCAUAAAGUAGAAAGAAGAGAAGCACAAUCCAAGCCAAGGGCUUGAGGGAACGAAAGAGAACAGACCAGGUCCUGGCCACACAGUCUCUAUUGGCUUACGGUACUUCUCUGCUUAACCUAAGACCACUGUGAAACCAGAUAAGUACUUACAUAACUGAUAAUAUUUUUAAUAUUAUCAUGUACACACCCCAUCCCUGUGUGUACGUGCACCAUCGUCAUACCUCAUGUCUCUCUGCAAGGUGGAAAGUGUGUUGAAAAUUAGCAGGGAAGUAUGUACCAGUCUGUUCAGGAAGCAAGAGAAGCUGGAAAGUCAGAUGGGAGUGCUACUGGGUUAGAACUGAAGAGCUAUGUGUAGCAGGUAAAGCAUACUGGGCAUCGUGAUGGAUUCCUGUGAAAAUGACCUGACCAUCAUGGCUUUCAGGUGUUAUUUAUUGAAAUGAGAAAUCCUACAAGAGGGAGUAGCUCAAUUGGCCAAAUGUACUUAAUUCACAAACACCUGAUUUUUUUUAGUAGACUCUUUUGGAUUUCACAGAAUAUUGUAUUGAAUGGAAGGUUUUAAUAGUUUUUGAAAAAAUUCUUUAAAAAAGGAAAGAUUUUAUUAAGCAAUCUCUAUUUAACGUGAGGCUUGAACUUAGAACUCCUGAGAUCAGGAGAUCAGGAGUUGCACGUCUAAGAGUCACCAGGCACCCCUAGAAAAUUUCCA